Long non-coding RNA from Mustela lutreola (European mink), 322 nucleotides. RefSeq lists it as uncharacterized. The transcript is spliced from 3 exons. NCBI's taxonomy places the organism in Eukaryota, Metazoa, Chordata, Mammalia, Carnivora, Mustelidae. The record is from RefSeq and is a predicted model, not a curated record.
CUCGUGGCCGCCCCCCCGGGGGACGCAGACUCUGACGGGACCCGACUCUCCAUGUCUGCCUAGCGCCGCGAACACGUGGGCUCUGAAGAUGUUCUCUUCCGGGGGCAGAGGGAGAAGGGAGAGCGUCUCAAGCAGAGUCCCCAGUGAGCCUGCGGAGUCCUGUCGGGGUCGAUCCCAGGACCCCGAGGCCCCGGCCCAAGCGGAAACCAGGCGCGGAAAAGGCCGCCGGGGACUGUGGAAGUCCGUGGUGCUCCCGUGUCCUGCCACCUGCAGCCAGCCCUUGGGCUCCCAGCGCCGGCUUCCUUUGCUCAGCAGACAGGAU